UGGGGAAUUUUGGACAAUGGACGCAAGUCUGAUCCAGCCAUGCCGCGUGCGGGAAGAAGGCCUUCGGGUUGUAAACCGCUUUUGUCAGGGAAGAAACGAGUUUCUCUAAUACAGAGACUUAAUGACGGUACCUGAAGAAUGAGCACCGGCUAACUACGUGCCAGCAGCCGCGGUAAUACGUAGGGUGCAAGCGUUAAUCGGAAUUACUGGGCGUAAAGCGUGCGCAGGCGGUUAUGUAAGACAGAUGUGGAAUCCCCGGGCUCAACCUGGGAACUGCAUUUGUGACUGCAUAGCUAGAGUACGGCAGAGGGGGAUGGAAUUCCGCGUGUAGCAGUGAAAUGCGUAGAUAUGCGGAGGAACACCGAUGGCGAAGGCAAUCCCCUGGGCCUGUACUGACGUUCAUGCACGAAAGCGUGGGGAGCAAACA
Molecule: ribosomal RNA, 427 nt
Filed under: uncultured bacterium
Lineage: Bacteria
Description: bacterial SSU rRNA
Rfam family: Bacterial small subunit ribosomal RNA
Source: RNAcentral